GAUGAACGCUGGCGGCGUGCCUAAUACAUGCAAGUCGAGCGAACAGACGAGGAGCUUGCUCCUCUGACGUUAGCGGCGGACGUGUGAGUAACACGUGGAUAACCUACCUAUAAGACUGGGAUAACUUCGGGAAACCGGCGCUAAUACCGUAUAAUAUAUUGAACCGCAUUGUUCAAUAGUUAAAUACGGUUUUUCUGUCACUUAUAGAUGGAUCCGCGCCGCAUUAGCUAGUUGGUAAGGUAACGGCUUACCAAGGCAACGAUGCGUAGCCGAACUGAGAGGGUGAUAGGCCACACGGGAACGGAAACACGGACAAGACGCCUGAGAGAGGCAGCAGUAGGGAAUGUUACGCAAAGGGCGAAAGCAUGACGGAGCAAGGGGGCGUGAGAGAUGAAGGUGUUCGGAUCGUAAAAAUCUGUUAUGAGGGAAGAACAAAUGUGGAAGUAGAUAUGCACGGAGUGACGGUACCGAAUCAGAAAGCAACGGCUAACUACGUG
RNAcentral lists this ribosomal RNA (497 nucleotides) under uncultured bacterium. RNAcentral describes it as "partial 16S ribosomal RNA". It matches the Rfam family "Bacterial small subunit ribosomal RNA", at positions 28 to 507 of the family's 1533-position model. The record is from RNAcentral.